UUAGACUUCAGUUGCGGUCGGUUUCUCCGACGAUUCGAACGCAUUGUGAUAUGUACAAGAAUUAAAUACAAAAAUAAUACUUUAACAGUAAUACCUAUUUAAGUAUAUGUGGUUUUAUUAAAAGUGAAAGUAUUAGUUAGACACUUACAACAAUGAAUCCAGAAACCGGAAUGUUACAAAGGAAAAAUUUUACAGCCUUAUCAACCAACGCGACAGUGUUCCAAGAACCAUCGAACCUGCUACCCCCAGAACAACCACAAGAACCAGUAGCAGACAUUUCUGGUCCUACCGCUGUACCGCUUAUCGGCAAAUAUGUUAAGAAAAUAGCCCAACAUGACCCCAAAAAGAACAAGAAGACGGAAAAAGAUACUUCAGAACCUGACAGCAUGAUGUGUUAAUGGGAACAUUUAAGAACUGAUGAUCAAGAUCAUAUUCGAAACAAAUGCAGUCCUACAAUCAACACCAAUCAUCAUCGUUCUAGCUUGGCCAAAUAGUCAAUUGAUAUCCGGCUAAAUAUAAAAAAAAAAGUUCGAAAAAGUAUUUUAAAGACUAAGCUUUAUUUAUGAAUUUAUUAGUUAUGUUUAAAUUAAUUAAGUAAUUAAUAGUAAAUAAAAAAUUGA
Pectinophora gossypiella (pink bollworm) is the source of this 620-nucleotide long non-coding RNA. RefSeq lists it as uncharacterized. The transcript is spliced from 3 exons. The record is from RefSeq and is a predicted model, not a curated record. NCBI's taxonomy places the organism in Eukaryota, Metazoa, Arthropoda, Insecta, Lepidoptera, Gelechiidae.